AAACUUGAGAGUUUGAUCCUGGCUCAGAACGAACGCUGGCGGCAUGCCUAACACAUGCAAGUCGAACGAAGCCUUCGGGCUUAGUGGCGCACGGGUGCGUAACGCGUGGGAACCUGCCUUUAGGUUCGGAAUAACAGUUAGAAAUGACUGCUAAUACCGGAUAAUGUCUUCGGACCAAAGAUUUAUCGCCUUUAGAUGGGCCCGCGUUGGAUUAGAUAGUUGGUGGGGUAAUGGCCUACCAAGUCGACGAUCCAUAGCUGGUCUGAGAGGAUG
Molecule: ribosomal RNA, 273 nt
Filed under: Erythrobacter sp.
Lineage: Bacteria; Pseudomonadati; Pseudomonadota; Alphaproteobacteria; Sphingomonadales; Erythrobacteraceae
Description: partial 16S ribosomal RNA
Rfam family: Bacterial small subunit ribosomal RNA
Source: RNAcentral